This is a long non-coding RNA of Populus euphratica (Euphrates poplar), 112 nucleotides long. RefSeq lists it as uncharacterized. The record is from RefSeq and is a predicted model, not a curated record. The transcript is spliced from 2 exons. NCBI's taxonomy places the organism in Eukaryota, Viridiplantae, Streptophyta, Magnoliopsida, Malpighiales, Salicaceae.
AUGCUUACUAAAAGCAUAAAUUUUUGAAGAUUAGUUAAGCUUCUACAUAUAACAUCAUUAUCAUAUUUGAAUAGCUGAAAUAAUCUUUCAUUCAAAUGAAGAAUUAUUUUUU